This 460-nucleotide ribosomal RNA is filed under the name uncultured bacterium. RNAcentral's name for it is "partial 16S ribosomal RNA". It matches the Rfam family "Bacterial small subunit ribosomal RNA", at positions 338 to 795 of the family's 1533-position model. The record is from RNAcentral.
CCUACGGGAGGCUGCAGUGAGGAAUAUUGGUCAAUGGGCGCGAGCCUGAACCAGCCAAGUAGCGUGAAGGAUGACUGCCCUACGGGUUGUAAACUUCUUUUAUAAAGGAAUAAAGUGAGGUACGUGUGCCUUUAUGUCUGUACUUUAUGAAUAAGGAUCGGCUAACUCCGUGCCAGCAGCCGCGGUAAUACGGAGGAUCCGAGCGUUAUCCGGAUUUAUUGGGUUUAAAGGGUGCGUAGAUGGGUUGUUAAGUUAGUUGUGAAAGUUUGCGGCUCAACCGUAAAAUUGCAAUUGAUACUGGAAGUCUUGAGUACAGACGAGGUAGGCGGAAUUCGUGGUGUAGCGGUGAAAUGCUUAGAUAUCACGAAGAACUCCGAUUGCGAAGGCAGCUUACUAGACUGCCACUGACAUUGAUGCUCGAAAGUGUGGGUAGCAAACAGGAUUAGAUACCCGGGUAGUC